AGUUUCUUGGAUAUUUUCAAUCCUCCUCCUUUUGUAUGCACACCUGAAUUAGUGCAUGGGUUAGUGUGUAUCUAAUUUCCUACUGGCUUUGGAAAACCUUGAUGGAUCUUUCAUCACUCAUUAGAUUAGCAAAGUAGCUCACUCACUUGUCUUCCCUUGCUUGGUGCCUACUUUGAGAGAUUGAACACAACUGAUUCCAUACUUGACUUGUGGCAAUCCUGGUGCUGUUUUACCCUACAUUUGUAUCAAUUCUUUCUUCUUUUGAUGCUUGUAAAUCUCAAUACAACUCAACUAAACCUUAAUCAAACUAGUUAUGCUUCAUCUCAAUAUUUGCACUAAAAGUGCAGAUUUAGGAAAUAUAUGCAAACAGUCAAAUACCAGUUUUCAAAUGACUUGGAUAGAUUGCUAUGGGAAGGGCACAAUAGCGGUGAGACGUAGUUGAGUAAAUGCAUGAAUGAAUACUUUCAUUCUGUCUUUAGGACACAGGAAGUUCACCCUUAUGGAUGCAGCAUGCAUUACAUAUUAAUUUGAAUGCAUAGCCAAAAAGACGAGUUUAAUGUAAUUAAUGCAGGUUGAACAAAAGCU
RNAcentral lists this unclassified non-coding RNA (585 nucleotides) under Hevea brasiliensis (rubber tree). Lineage: Eukaryota; Viridiplantae; Streptophyta; Magnoliopsida; Malpighiales; Euphorbiaceae. The record is from RNAcentral.